Molecule: ribosomal RNA, 252 nt
Filed under: uncultured bacterium
Lineage: Bacteria
Description: partial 16S ribosomal RNA
Rfam family: Bacterial small subunit ribosomal RNA
Source: RNAcentral
GCAAGUCGAGCGGUAACAGGAAUUAGCUUGCUAAUUUGCUGACGAGCGGCGGACGGGUGAGUAAUGCCUAGAUAUCUGCCUAGUCGUGGGGGAUAACAGUUGGAAACGACUGCUAAUACCGCAUACGCCCUACGGGGGAAAGGAGGGGACCUUCGGGCCUUUCGCGAUUAGAUGAGUCUAGGUGGGAUUAGCUAGUAGGUGAGGUAAUGGCUCACCUAGGCGACGAUCCCUAGCUGGUCUGAGAGGAUGAUC